This 372-nucleotide ribosomal RNA is filed under the name uncultured bacterium. Its description in RNAcentral is "bacterial SSU rRNA". It matches the Rfam family "Bacterial small subunit ribosomal RNA", at positions 28 to 402 of the family's 1533-position model. The record is from RNAcentral.
GACGAACGCUGGCGGCGUGCCUAACACAUGCAAGUCGAACGAGGUCCAUCCUUCGGGAGAAGACCUAGUGGCGAACGGGUGAGUAACACGUGAGGAACCUGCCCGAAGACCAGGAUAACCCUCCGAAAGGAGAGCUAAUACCGGAUACCCCCACCGAGCCGCAUGGUUGGUGAGGAAUGGAUUCCGCUUCGGAGGGCCUCGCGGCCUAUCAGCUAGUUGGUGGGGUAACGGCCCACCCAAAGGCAUCGACGGGUAGCUGGUCUGAGAGGACGAUCAGCCACACUGGGACUGAGACACGGCCCAGACUCCUACGGGAGGCAGCAGUGGGGAAUCUUGCGCAAUGGGCGAAAGCCUGACGCAGCAACGCCGCGU